UUUUUAUGCCCCACCUACGAUAGUAGAGGGGCAUUAUGUUUUCUGGUCUGUGCGUCCGUUCGUCCGUUCGUUCGUCCGUUCGUUCGUCCGUUCGUCCGUCUGUCCCGCUUCAGGUUAAAGUUUUUGGUCGAGGUAGUUUUUGAUGAAGUUGAAGUUCAAUCGACUUCAAACUUGGUACACAUGUUCCCUAUGAUAUGAUCUUUCUAAUUUUAAUGCCAAAUUAGAGAUUUCACCCCAAUUUCACGGUCCACUGAACAUAGAAAAUGAAAGUGCAUGUUUCAGGUUAAAGUUUUUCAGGUUAAAGUUUUUGGUCAAGGUAGUUUUUGAUGAAAGUUGAAGUCCAAUCAACUUGAAACUUAGUACACAUGUUCCUUAUGAUAUGAUCUUUCUAAUUUUAAAGCCAAAUUAAACUUUUGACCCCAAUUUCACGGUCCA
This 435-nucleotide long non-coding RNA is filed under the name Mytilus galloprovincialis (Mediterranean mussel). The record is from RNAcentral. Lineage: Eukaryota; Metazoa; Mollusca; Bivalvia; Mytilida; Mytilidae.